GUGACCCCAGGAUGGGCGAGGCC
Molecule: ribosomal RNA, 23 nt
Filed under: Gongora sp. SRR-2011
Lineage: Eukaryota; Viridiplantae; Streptophyta; Magnoliopsida; Asparagales; Orchidaceae
Description: partial 26S ribosomal RNA
Source: RNAcentral